Molecule: ribosomal RNA, 571 nt
Filed under: uncultured Phyllobacteriaceae bacterium
Lineage: Bacteria; Pseudomonadati; Pseudomonadota; Alphaproteobacteria; Hyphomicrobiales; Phyllobacteriaceae
Description: bacterial SSU rRNA
Rfam family: Bacterial small subunit ribosomal RNA
Source: RNAcentral
UGCAAGUCGAGCGCCCCGCAAGGGGAGCGGCAGACGGGUGAGUAACGCGUGGGAAUCUACCUUUUGCUACGGAAUAACUCAGGGAAACUUGUGCUAAUACCGUAUGUGCCCUUCGGGGGAAAGAUUUAUCGGCAAAGGAUGAGCCCGCGUUGGAUUAGCUAGUUGGUGAGGUAAAGGCUCACCAAGGCGACGAUCCAUAGCUGGUCUGAGAGGAUGAUCAGCCACACUGGGACUGAGACACGGCCCAGACUCCUACGGGAGGCAGCAGUGGGGAAUAUUGGACAAUGGGCGCAAGCCUGAUCCAGCCAUGCCGCGUGAGUGAUGAAGGCCCUAGGGUUGUAAAGCUCUUUCAACGGUGAAGAUAAUGACGGUAACCGUAGAAGAAGCCCCGGCUAACUUCGUGCCAGCAGCCGCGGUAAUACGAAGGGGGCUAGCGUUGUUCGGAAUUACUGGGCGUAAAGCGCACGUAGGCGGAUCGAUCAGUUAGGGGUGAAAUCCCAGGGCUCAACCCUGGAACUGCCUCUAAUACUGUCGAUCUCGAGUUCGAGAGAGGUGAGUGGAAUUCCGAGUG